AGCUUUGCGCAGUGGCAGUAUCGUAGCCAAUGAGGUUUAUCCGAGGCGCGAUUAUUGCUAAUUGAAGAGGUAACUCUAGGAAUAAUGCAGUUGCCCCACUUAAACUUCUACAGGAAAUAAAUGGAUGAUUUCUCAAAU
Fukomys damarensis (Damara mole-rat) is the source of this 138-nucleotide small nuclear RNA. Its record names the gene U4. It matches the Rfam family "U4 spliceosomal RNA". From Rfam's summary of the family: U4 small nuclear RNA (U4 snRNA) is a component of the major U2-dependent spliceosome. The structure of U4 snRNA from yeast and human has been reported. U4 snRNA presents a k-turn RNA motif in the 5p-SL related to recognition of Snu13 protein. The record is from Ensembl. Lineage: Eukaryota; Metazoa; Chordata; Mammalia; Rodentia; Bathyergidae.